This 1423-nucleotide ribosomal RNA is filed under the name metagenome. Its description in RNAcentral is "bacterial SSU rRNA". It matches the Rfam family "Bacterial small subunit ribosomal RNA". The record is from RNAcentral.
AGAGUUUGAUCCUGGCUCAGAACGAACACUGGCGGCGUGGAUUAGGCAUGCAAGUCGAACGAGAAAGUUCCCUUCGGGGAGCGAGUAAAGUGGCGAACGGGUGAGUAACGCGUGGGAAACCUGCCCUUUAAUGGGGGAUAACAGUUCUAACGAGCUGCUAAUACCGCAUACGACCCUAGGAUCGCAUGGUCCCUGGGUGAAAGGUGGCCUCUCUUUGAAGCUGCCGUUGAAGGAUGGUCCCGCGUCCCAUUAGCUAGUUGGUAGGGUAACGGCCUACCAAGGCGACGAUGGGUAGCCGGCCUGAGAGGGUGUCCGGCCACACUGGGACUGAGAUACGGCCCAGACUCCUACGGGAGGCAGCAGUCGAGAAGCUUCCGCAAUGGGCGAAAGCCUGACGGAGCGACGCCGCGUGAGUAAAGAAGGCCCUAUGGGUUGUAAAACUCUGUCAGAUUGGGAAGAAAACUUCGUGGAUAAUACCCACGAGGCUUGACGGUACCAUCAGAGGAAGCACCGGCUAACUCCGUGCCAGCAGCCGCGGUAAUACGGAGGGUGCAAGCGUUGUUCGGAUUCACUGGGUAUAAAGGGUGCGCAGGCGGCCUGAUAAGUCAGCGGUGAAAUAUGUCGGCUCAACCGACAAACUGCCCCUGAAACUGACAGGCUUGAGUUCGGGAGAGGAAGGUGGAAUUCCAGGUGUAGCGGUGAAAUGCGUAAAUAUCUGGAGGAACACCGGUGGCGAAGGCGGCCUUCUGGCCCGACACUGACGCUCAGGCACGAAAGCAUGGGGAGCGAACGGGAUUAGAUACCCCGGUAGUCCAUGCCGUAAACGAUGGGUACUAGGUGUUGGAGGAUUCUACCCCUCCAGUGCCGCAGCUAACGCAUUAAGUACCCCACCUGGGGAGUACGAUCGCAAGGUUGAAACUCAAAGGAAUUGACGGGGGCCCGCACAAGCGGUGGAGCAUGUGGUUUAAUUCGAUGCAACGCGAGGAACCUUACCUGGGCUUGACAUGCAGGGGACAGGUGUAGAAAUACAUCCUUCUUCGGAUCCCUGUACAGGUGCUGCAUGGCUGUCGUCAGCUCGUGUCGUGAAAUGUUGGGUUAAGUCCCGCAACGAGCGCAACCCCUGUCUUUAGUUGCCAUCAGGUUAUGCUGGGGACUCUAGAGAGACUGCCGGUGAUAAACCGGAGGAAGGUGGGGACGACGUCAAGUCAUCAUGGCCCUUACGCCCAGGGCUACACACGUGCUACAAUGGUCGGUACAGAGGGCUGCAAUGCUGUGAAGUGGAGCGAAUCCCACAAAGCCGGCCUCAGUUCGGAUCGAAGUCUGCAACUCGACUUCGUGAAGUUGGAAUCGCUAGUAAUCGCGUAUCAGAACGACGCGGUGAAUACGUUCCCGGGCCUUGUACACACCGCCCGUCAAGUCAACC